AAAACCGCCAGCCUCAGAAGCGGGUUUUGCAGCUCUUUGUCGUCUCCUGUAGCCACUUCGCGGUCCCAAGGCUUUCCAGAGCGAACCUGUGCGGCUCCAGGCAGCGGCGCAUAGACUUUCCGGCGUCCGGAAGGAGCGAGCUCUAAGUCGCGGAUCCCGUCCGCCGUUUCCAGGCCCGAAUCUCAGAGGAGCGCGGCAGACAGAGCGGGGCACCGGCAUGG
Non-coding RNA from Callithrix jacchus (white-tufted-ear marmoset), 221 nucleotides. The record is from Rfam. Lineage: Eukaryota; Metazoa; Chordata; Mammalia; Primates; Cebidae.